GCUGGGAGGAAGUCCAGGCCACGUGGAGAGUGACUCAGACAUGCUCUGGCCAACAGCCAGCUAUAGCCCCAGAUCACAGGCAGCCAUGGCAUGUCAAAGAGGAAAACAAAUAGGAGACAGAGGGGUCCCGGCCAUCUGACUACAGCCUUGGAGACCCCGGGCGGAGCUACCAGCUAAGCCUUAGAACGGAAAUACCGCCGGCCUGCUGGGGACUUGGGCAACAUGACGGUUGUGGGAAGCAGCCCUACUUCUCCGGAGAAUCUGCUAAAAGACUCGGGGCUGCCACCACAGAAACUGCAAGGGUGAGGAGCCCCAGUCAUGCAUCUCAGUCUAUUCCUGGGCAGAUUGCAAGCUCUCAGGGAAGGCUGUGACUGGCCAACCCAGAUGAUAAACACGCUCUAGCAUCCACCAGUCCUAUGCAAGGAAGAGACGAGACAGGACCCUGCCCAAAAGCUAUCUGGAGGCUGCCACUUAAACAUGGGGCAGCUGCCACAGGCGUCCUGCAGCCACGUGCCGAGUGUUCUUUAAAUCGCACGGCUUGUUGGCCCAGUCACUUACGCUGCCUGAAAACAGCUCACUGGAAGGCUGAAGGAAUGGCAGGAGGCGGUGGAGCUGGACCUCAGGCUCCCUGUGUCUGGCUCCAGCCUCGGCCCUUCCUGCCACAUCUGGGCCCAGCGCUGGUGGAGACCCUAGGUGCAGGAGUGUUGAGUUUGGGAGGUGGCUUUGCCGUGUCACAUGCAUACAGGCGGCUAUGAAAUCCUCCCCCACGCAGACGGGGUCGUCCCUCCUUCCUGGGUGAUCCAACAGUUCUGCGCCCACAGUGGGUACUGCCCACAUGGAGAUAGAUGGUCCACAGGGCCUAAACUCCACUGGCCAGCAGAGGGCGCUCCCGCACCCUUCGGGUCAUGGCUUGGCUUCUCUCCUUUCCCCGACCUGACUGUCCAUUGAGACUGGAAACCUUCCUCCAGGCAAGAUGGUGUGGAGAGAAGAGAAAGAGAGGGUGGAGGAGAAACAAGAGGAGAGAGAGGAAGAGGAGUACAGAAAGGGGGAGGGCCCCCCACAGUCCUGUCCCAUCGCGUUCCCCUACCAGGAUGGGGGCAGAGGGUGGGGGGCUGAGGCCUGUGAAGGCUGUCUAGGAACAUCUCCCCACCACCCCACCCCCGCCUGGGCAGUUCCUGGGAAAGAAGCCACCUCCACCCAUUCUGCAAACCAGAGGCCUUGGAAAACAAGAUGUGCGCCUGGCCUGGUGGUGCACCUCUAAUCCCAGCAGAGGCAAGCGCAUCUCUGAGUUGGAAGCUACCUGGUCUACAAGAGAAAGAAAACAGAGCAGCAAGCCACCCAAACCAAAGAGCCACGAGGGACAGAAGCUCCUCACACGGCCUGCUGCCACAGGGCUCUGGCCAGAGCCUGUGGGGAUUCUGCUCGGGACUUGGGCCUGGUCCCCUCUCAGACCCAUCGGCUUAGCCCUCUCUCGAGCACACUGUUGCCUCCGGUCCAGUGCCCUCCGCCUGGGAAAAGAGUCACCGGGGGGAGCUGCUGUGGUAGCCCCCGCCUGCUCUGGCCUCUGCUGUAAGCUAUUGCACUCUGCUCUCUGGGUCACCAAGGCCUGAACCCCGCAACUGAACUUGGCCCUCCAGACCCCUCCAGAGGGAGAAUGUAGGGCAGGCUGGCCCCUGUCCAAGCCCGGCUGGUUCUGUUUAGUGGCUUCCUUCCAGCCCCGCGUCACAGUAGGGCUGCUGAGUGGCACUGCCCUGAGUCACAGCUGGAAUGGGGUCAAGACAUGAUCUGGACUCUGUUCUGUAGUUGUUUUUUGUUUUGUUUUUUACUCUUUGGGGGCCCGCCACCUAGCUCCCAAAUAAAUACAUGGAGACUUAUUCUCACUUA
Molecule: long non-coding RNA, 1884 nt
Organism: Peromyscus californicus insignis
Lineage: Eukaryota; Metazoa; Chordata; Mammalia; Rodentia; Cricetidae
Exons: 2
Source: RefSeq, a predicted model, not a curated record